This 403-nucleotide ribosomal RNA is filed under the name uncultured Oscillibacter sp. Its description in RNAcentral is "bacterial SSU rRNA". It matches the Rfam family "Bacterial small subunit ribosomal RNA", at positions 356 to 774 of the family's 1533-position model. Lineage: Bacteria; Bacillati; Bacillota; Clostridia; Eubacteriales; Oscillospiraceae. The record is from RNAcentral.
GGGGAAUAUUGGGCAAUGGACGCAAGUCUGACCCAGCAACGCCGCGUGAAGGAAGAAGGCUUUCGGGUUGUAAACUUCUUUUAAGGGGGAAGAGUAGAAGACGGUACCCCUUGAAUAAGCCACGGCUAACUACGUGCCAGCAGCCGCGGUAAUACGUAGGUGGCAAGCGUUGUCCGGAUUUACUGGGUGUAAAGGGCGUGUAGCCGGGAAGGUAAGUCAGAUGUGAAAACCCUGAGCUUAACUUGGGGACUGCAUUUAAAACUGGUAACCUAGAGUGCAGGAGAGGUAAGCGGAAUUCCUAGUGUAGCGGUGAAAUGCGUAGAUAUUAGGAAGAACAUCAGUGGCGAAGGCGGCUUACUGGACUGUAACUGACGCUGAUGCACGAAAGCGUGGGGAGCAAAUA